GUCGGGAUAGCUCAGA
RNAcentral lists this transfer RNA (16 nucleotides) under Coffea stenophylla. RNAcentral's name for it is "partial tRNA-Phe". Lineage: Eukaryota; Viridiplantae; Streptophyta; Magnoliopsida; Gentianales; Rubiaceae. The record is from RNAcentral.